Molecule: long non-coding RNA, 539 nt
Filed under: Ananas comosus (pineapple)
Lineage: Eukaryota; Viridiplantae; Streptophyta; Magnoliopsida; Poales; Bromeliaceae
Description: long non-coding RNA (ACOM_LNC017454)
Source: RNAcentral
AUAUAGUAUUUGGUGGGUCAUGCGCGCACUACAACAAAAUUAGAUUUUAAGAACAUAUGUUUGGGACACUUUUGUGUAAGUGUCUCAUUUAUAUCAAAACUUAAAAAAAAAUCUACUAAUGUCUAAAUAUAAAGUUCAAUUCAAUCAAAAAUAAAAGGUUACUCUACUCAACCUAUCCUACCCAGCCCAUUCGGCCCGAUUACAAACAGAAAAAAAAAAUGAAAAAUCGAUUAUCAUCUCUCCUUCUCCCCCACUCAAUCCACUAAAAUUCUAGACGAAGAGCCAUUCCCUUUCGUCCUCCUCCGCUACCGCAGUCAACGAGAUAAAAUUUCGACGGUUGCUAAAUGUUUAAACAAGUGUUGAUAAAUUAGCAGCACUGUUUUUAUGUUAUAGCGACAUUUUUAACUGUCACUAUAUAUCUAGCAACCCCACAUAUAGCAAUACUUUUUAAAAGUGUCGGUAAUUUUAGCUAGCAGUAUUUUUUUGACAUGUACCUAUAUUUAAAAGUGUCGCUAUAAACCGUUUUUGUUGUAGUGCGU